RNAcentral lists this ribosomal RNA (463 nucleotides) under uncultured bacterium. RNAcentral describes it as "bacterial SSU rRNA". It matches the Rfam family "Bacterial small subunit ribosomal RNA", at positions 330 to 794 of the family's 1533-position model. The record is from RNAcentral.
GCCAGACUCCUACGGGAGGCAGCAGUGGGGAAUAUUGCACAAUGGGGGGAACCCUGAUGCAGCGACGCCGCGUGGGUGAAGGAGCACCUCGGUGCGUAAAGCCCUAUCGGCAGGGAAGAAAAGCGAACAGGUUCGCCUGGACGGUACCUGACUAAGAAGCCCCGGCUAACUACGUGCCAGCAGCCGCGGUAAUACGUAGGGGGCAAGCGUUAUCCGGAUUCACUGGGUGUAAAGGGAGCGUAGACGGCGACGCAAGUCUGGAGUGAAAGCCCGGGGCCCAACCCCGGGACUGCUUUGGAAACUGUGUAACUUGAGUACAGGAGGGGCAGGCGGAAUUCCUGGUGUAGCGGUGAAAUGCGUAGAUAUCAGGAGGAACACCGGCGGCGAAGGCGGCCUGCCGGACUGAAACUGACGUUGAGGCGCGAAAGCGUGGGGAGCAAACAGGAUUAGAUACCCUUGUACA